RNAcentral lists this long non-coding RNA (557 nucleotides) under Medicago truncatula (barrel medic). Its description in RNAcentral is "lncRNA gene21955". Lineage: Eukaryota; Viridiplantae; Streptophyta; Magnoliopsida; Fabales; Fabaceae. The record is from RNAcentral.
UGUUAAAUGAGUGUUUGAAAAUAAUUGGUGUAUUAAUAUAAGGGUUGUUUAAAAUAUAAUUAAUUCAUUAAAUCAAGAUAAAAUGAAAGUCGUGGAUGUGGAGUAACUAUUUUUGUUUUUGUGUGAACCCUCUUAUUCUCAUGGAAAGAGAUUUGAUAGAGGAUUAACUAAAAAACAUUUCUCGUCCAUUAGCUCACCUUCGUAUCGUUAAUGGAUUCUACAACCAAAUACGAUUAUGUCUUGACAAUAAUACAAAAUUUAUAAUUAUGUCAUUGAAAAUAAUAAGUAAAAAUUGGUACAAUUAUAUCUCUGACUAAAAAUAAUAAUUUUAUGCCCUCGCAAAAAAUAUUUUGAAGUAUAAUGAGAUAGAGACUAAAUUUUCAAAUUUGUUUUUGGAACUAAAAAGGUGCUUUUAUUUUUCUUAGCAACUAAAUUAGGUCUCAAUUUUUAUACAAAACUAAAUUUUAUCUUCACUCAAAAUUCAAUUGUGACUUCAUUCACUAUGAUAACAUAGAAAUGUAAAUUUUACAAAAUCAUAUUUCUAAUCAAAUUUUUUU